Molecule: unclassified non-coding RNA, 1042 nt
Filed under: Hevea brasiliensis (rubber tree)
Lineage: Eukaryota; Viridiplantae; Streptophyta; Magnoliopsida; Malpighiales; Euphorbiaceae
Source: RNAcentral
UUUCUUCUACUUCUAAUUCUUAAAUAUUAACAUGGUAUCAAAGCUUUGCUAAAAUUCUGGAAAAUUUUGAAAUUUCGUCCUUGUUCACGUUACCCACCUGCUACCUUUCUAGCGCACCCAUCUAGGGUGAUUUGUUUAUCUCAAAGCCCCCCUAAGAAGAGAACUUGGCUGCCAACCGGCCUUUCUCCAAAGUUUGUGAAGCGCGUGGCCCACACCACUGUUCUCAAAGGCGCACCUGAGGCUCUAGGUGUAGCGCCUCAUUUAGGGAAAGGCGAGCAACCUCACCCAGGCUCAAAGAGGCACAGUGAGGCACAGGGAGGCAUUAGGCGCGCCUAGGCGUGCUUGAGUGAGGUCAAGCUAAGGCUUUUAAAAAUAAGCCCACAUCCUUUUUUUUUUUUUGAAUUAUCGCAACACAAAGCCAAGCCAACCCAGACCCUUUGACGAUGAAGAAGAAGAAGAAAAAGACAAAGAAGAAAGAAGAGGAGAAGGAUCCUUUAUUUGUUGCUGCAUGCUUCUCCACUUCAAAGAUUUACUCUCUAGGUUUGCCUUUUUUUUAUUUUUUGUUUUCCUCUUCUCUUCCUUCUCGCCUCAUCUCUCUUUAGCCCUUGUUCAAGCUUUUUUUUUUCCCUUUCCGUCACACCUCAUCUCUACAACCUUGAUCAUGCUUCUUUUUCCUCUUCUCUUCCUUCAUGCCUCAUCUCUCCAACCCUGUUCAUACUUUGUUUCCUUCAUUCUACUCUGCUGCUCUCUUUCUAGCCUUCGGUCUUUAAAAUUUUCAGUGGCUUGGUGUUGGAUUUUUUUUUUCCUACUCUUCAUGCUGCUUUCUCCAGCUGUGGGUUUUUUUUCUCCAACCAACUGUGAUUGAUUUCUACUAUUAUGUUCCCAUUUUGAGCCUUAUAUUUUUUAUUAUUGUGCUAAAUUCAAUGGGUGGAUGUUUCAUAUUUGAGACUGAGUGUUUGGACAAUAAAUUAGAAGGAAAAAUUAAUAAUUAAUAAUGUAAAAUAUUUAUUAACAUUUUGUUGAUAUAAUUUUAAGUUUUUGU